GCUCCAAUAGCGUAUAUUAAAGUUGUUGCGGUUAAAAAGCUCGUAGUUGGAUAUCAGUUUUAGGCGGGCGGUACACCUUACUGGUGGUCACUGCCGUCCUGAGACCUCGACAGCUGGCCUCUCCUGCUAUGCUCUUAACCGAGUGUGGUGGGUGGCUGGCAUGCUUACUUUGAAAAAAUUAGAGUGCUCAAAGCAGGCGU
This 200-nucleotide ribosomal RNA is filed under the name uncultured eukaryote. Its description in RNAcentral is "partial 18S ribosomal RNA". It matches the Rfam family "Eukaryotic small subunit ribosomal RNA", at positions 588 to 787 of the family's 1831-position model. The record is from RNAcentral.